RNAcentral lists this ribosomal RNA (622 nucleotides) under Streptomyces sp. RNAcentral's name for it is "bacterial SSU rRNA". It matches the Rfam family "Bacterial small subunit ribosomal RNA", at positions 258 to 890 of the family's 1533-position model. The record is from RNAcentral. Lineage: Bacteria; Bacillati; Actinomycetota; Actinomycetes; Kitasatosporales; Streptomycetaceae.
UUGGAGUUGCCUCAUGCGACGACGGGUAGCCGGCCUGAGAGGGCGACCGGCCACACUGGGACUGAGACACGGCCCAGACUCCUACGGGAGGCAGCAGUGGGGAAUAUUGCACAAUGGGCGAAAGCCUGAUGCAGCGACGCCGCGUGAGGGAUGACGGCCUUCGGGUUGUAAACCUCUUUCAGCAGGGAAGAAGCGAGAGUGACGGUACCUGCAGAAGAAGCGCCGGCUAACUACGUGCCAGCAGCCGCGGUAAUACGUAGGGCGCAAGCGUUGUCCGGAAUUAUUGGGCGUAAAGAGCUCGUAGGCGGCUUGUCACGUCGGAUGUGAAAGCCCGGGGCUUAACCCCGGGUCUGCAUUCGAUACGGGCUAGCUAGAGUGUGGUAGGGGAGAUCGGAAUUCCUGGUGUAGCGGUGAAAUGCGCAGAUAUCAGGAGGAACACCGGUGGCGAAGGCGGAUCUCUGGGCCAUUACUGACGCUGAGGAGCGAAAGCGUGGGGAGCGAACAGGAUUAGAUACCCUGGUAGUCCACGCCGUAAACGUUGGGAACUAGGUGUUGGCGACAUUCCACGUCGUCGGUGCCGCAGCUAACGCAUUAAGUUCCCCGCUGGGAGAAAAUACCGGGA